Molecule: RNase P RNA, 309 nt
Filed under: Jakoba libera
Lineage: Eukaryota; Jakobea; Jakobida; Jakobidae
Description: ribonuclease P RNA
Rfam family: Bacterial RNase P class A
About the family: Ribonuclease P (RNase P) is a ubiquitous endoribonuclease, found in archaea, bacteria and eukarya as well as chloroplasts and mitochondria.
Source: RNAcentral
UAAAGGAUAUUGAGUAUCCGCUCUAUUUUAGAAUAGAGAGGAAAAUCCGGACUUCUAUUUGAUUAGAUUAGUUAAUGACUAAGAAGCUUAAGCUUAGGGAAAUUACUACAGAAAAACAUGAGUACUACUACAUUAGUAAACAUUGAAAAGAGUAGCAGGAGACUGCUCAAUCAUUUGGAAACCCUCUAAGAAGCAAGAAUAUCGCUGUACUACUAUUGUAAAAUAGUUUUGAAGUGAAAUGGAUACUCAGGAAAAAGAAUGGCAGGGUCUUCUUUUUUUGGACAAAAUCCGGUUUAUAAAUAUCCUUUU